This is a long non-coding RNA of Gavialis gangeticus (Gharial), 1921 nucleotides long. RefSeq lists it as uncharacterized. The transcript is spliced from 2 exons. The record is from RefSeq and is a predicted model, not a curated record. NCBI's taxonomy places the organism in Eukaryota, Metazoa, Chordata, Crocodylia, Gavialidae.
AUUAAAGCACCUCCCUCCAGCCCCGAAGCAUAUGUAUAAACACUGUAUAUGACCAGCCAGGACUCCCCACAAACCCCAGUAACAGGGUCUUCAUAUUCACAGAACAGUAGCGCUGGAAUAAGUCCUACAAAUGUUAUCUAGUCCAUGCACCAGCAGGAUGAAAGACACCUAGGCCACCUUUGUUCUUAAAAAUCUCUCAUGAGGAUUCAAUAACCUCCCCAGGCAGCCUGUCCUCGUGUUCUUUAGCUUUACAGUUCGAAGGUUUUCCUAAUAUCUAACCUAAAACUCAACAGCAAAUUAAGCCUAUUCCUUUUUGCCCCUCCUCUCAGUGGACCUGGUGAACAACUGAUCGCCACCCUUUUUAUAACAUUCUUUUCAUAGACUGGAAGAUUGUUACGUCCUUCUUUAACCUUCUUGCUUUGUACACUACAGAAAAACAGCUCCUUUAGAAGAAGUCAACCAUGAGGAAAGUUUGAACUUCUUACUUUAUUUGUUGCUCUCCUCUUGGAAGCUGUCUGUCUACAUCUUAGUGUGAUGCCCAACACUAGGUAUACGCUACAGCUGAGGUCCUACCAGUGCCAAGUAGGAGGUAAUUCUGCUGUCUUACUUAUGACACUUAACAUAUACCAGACUGUCCUCUUCUAAAAUACAAAACAACACCCCAGCAUCACACUGACAACUCAUUCAAUUUGUGAUCCAGUGUAAUCCCCGGAUUGUUCCCUAUUUCAUAUUCUUCUUCUUAAAUGUAGCAUUUAGCAAGUGUCUUUACUACAUUUCAUAAUGUUGGUUUCCAACCAUUUAUCCAGUCUGUCAAGAUUAAUUUGAAUUCUGAUCCUGUCCUCCAAAAGACCUGACAAUACCUUCCACGUUGCUGUUAUCUAUCACUUUUUACUCUCCCUAUUUCAUCAUCCAAGUCCUUCACAAAAAUUCUGACUGUAAGCAAACCAGAACAGAUUCUUGUGGGAUCCAAAGUACCCUGCUUUGAUAGUGAACCUCUAAUAACUAUUCUUUAAGAGCACUUUUUAAGCCAGCUCAGCACUCACCUUAUGGUUAUUUCCCUAGUUUGCUUAUGACAAUUCCCUAUAAUCUGAUUUCAAAAUAUGUCACAUCAUCAUUCCACAGUUAUCCACAAGCAAGCAGGAAACACGUUCACGGACUACUGUCAUUGUGAAAAUGUACCUACAAGUUCAUCCAGUAAUGUCACAUCCAAGCACAUGGAUACAGAAUACCUAUUCCUAAGGUAACUACAGCAGAUCUGAGAACAGAAUAAGACCUGUUUUCUUGUAGAAAUGCAUCUAAAUCAUAUACCGAGCUGAAAACCCCCUUGAACACUGAUGGCACUGAAAAAAAAAAAAUCAAAUCUUUUUUCCAAAUAUGGGAUGUUAACUAAAAACUAAAAAAGACAAACUAAAAAAAAGACUAAUUAUAUAGUCUCAGGCCACUAAAAGUAUGGCCAUUUUAAUGGCAGAAUUUAAGACUUGUAACCUGAGGAAAAUGCUGAAGAUAAUGACGUUAAACCAAAUAUACUCUUUUAUACACCAGUGACACCAAGCAGCCAAGAGAGGUGAAAAAGAGCUUCCACAUAGACAGAGGGAAUAAAUCCACCCUCCUCAAGUUGUGGAAUCUGUCUAAUGCUGCAGUAGGUACUGCAUCGGUCCCCACACCUGAUAGAGGGCAACAGCAAGUAUAGCACAGGAAUUUCCCAUUGCCCAGACAGGCAAACUGUACAGUGCACCAACUUGCCAUGUGGAAACCAUGACUUGUGGAGCUUCUCCAAAUUGUGUUUUCCCUCCACACGCACAAAGUAAAUGGUUACCGUGAGCCCCAAGCAUUCCAGAAAAAAAAAAAAAGGCAGACACAACCUUUAACGAAGUAUGUGUCACCAUAGUUAGAAAUGUUUAGUUUUCAGUAAAACUGUAAU